GAUGGCUCAGUGGUAGAGUGCUUGCCUUGCAUGCAUGAGGCCCUGGGUUCAAUCCCUCGGCACAUUA
Molecule: transfer RNA, 67 nt
Filed under: Dipodomys ordii (Ord's kangaroo rat)
Lineage: Eukaryota; Metazoa; Chordata; Mammalia; Rodentia; Heteromyidae
Rfam family: tRNA
About the family: Transfer RNA (tRNA) molecules are approximately 80 nucleotides in length. Their secondary structure includes four short double-helical elements and three loops (D, anti-codon, and T loops).
Source: Rfam by way of RNAcentral